UGGGGAAUAUUGGACAAUGGGCGAAAGCCUGAUCCAGCCAUGCCGCGUGUGUGAAGAAGGUCUUCGGAUUGUAAAGCACUUUAAGCUGGGAGGAAGGGCAGUAAGCGAAUACCUUGCUGUUUUGACGUUACCGACAGAAUAAGCACCGGCUAACUCUGUGCCAGCAGCCGCGGUAAUACAGAGGGUGCAAGCGUUAAUCGGAAUUACUGGGCGUAAAGCGCGCGUAGGUGGUUCGUUAAGUUGAAUGUGAAAGCCCCGGGCUCACCCUGGGAAGUGCAGCCAAAACUGGCGGGCUAGAGUAGGGCAGAGGGUGGUGGAAUUUCCUGUGUAGCGGUGAAGUGCGUAGAUAUAGGAAGGAACACCAGUAGCGAAGGCGACCACCUUGGCUCAUACUGACACUGAGGUGCGAAAGCGUGGGGAGCAAACAGG
RNAcentral lists this ribosomal RNA (429 nucleotides) under Pseudomonadota bacterium. RNAcentral's name for it is "Proteobacteria bacterium partial 16S ribosomal RNA". It matches the Rfam family "Bacterial small subunit ribosomal RNA", at positions 355 to 776 of the family's 1533-position model. The record is from RNAcentral. Lineage: Bacteria; Pseudomonadati; Pseudomonadota.